RNAcentral lists this ribosomal RNA (868 nucleotides) under uncultured Pseudomonadota bacterium. RNAcentral describes it as "bacterial SSU rRNA". It matches the Rfam family "Bacterial small subunit ribosomal RNA", at positions 154 to 1018 of the family's 1533-position model. Lineage: Bacteria; Pseudomonadati; Pseudomonadota. The record is from RNAcentral.
AAAGAUGCGCUAAUACCGCAUAAUCUCUAAGGAGAAAAGCAGGGGAUCGCAAGACCUUGCGCUUUUGGAGCGGCCGAUGUCUGAUUAGCUAGUUGGUGAGGUAAAGGCUUACCAAGGCUUCGAUCAGUAGCUGGUCUGAGAGGACGACCAGCCACACUGGGACUGAGACACGGCCCAGACUCCUACGGGAGGCAGCAGUGGGGAAUUUUGGACAAUGGGGGCAACCCUGAUCCAGCCAUGCCGCGUGAGUGAAGAAGGCCUUCGGGUUGUAAAGCUCUUUCAGCCGGAACGAAAAGGUUACGGUUAAUACCCGUGACUAAUGACGGUACCGGAAGAAGAAGCACCGGCUAACUACGUGCCAGCAGCCGCGGUAAUACGUAGGGUGCGAGCGUUAAUCGGAAUUACUGGGCGUAAAGCGUGCGCAGGCGGUUUUGUAAGUCAGAUGUGAAAUCCCCGGGCUUAACCUGGGAACUGCGUUUGAAACUACAAGGCUAGAGUGUGGCAGAGGGGGGUGGAAUUCCACGUGUAGCAGUGAAAUGCGUAGAGAUGUGGAGGAACACCGAUGGCGAAGGCAGCCCCCUGGGUUAACACUGGCGCUCAGGCACGAAAGCGUGGGGAGCAAACAGGAUUAGAUACCCUGGUAGUCCACGCCCUGAACGAUGUCAACUAGUUGUCGGGUCUUAACGGGCUUGGUAACGCAGCUAACGCGUGAAGUUGACCGCCUGGAGAGUACGGUCGCAAGAUUAAAACUCAAAGGAAUUGACGGGGACCCGCACAAGCGGUGGAUUAUGUGGAUUAAUUCGAUGCAACGCGAAAAACCUUACCUACCCUUGACAUGUACCGAAGCCCGCCGAGAGGUGGGCGUGCU